UGAGUACGAGCUGCUACGGCAGCGAAGUGGGUGACGUCAAGCUUCCAAGAAAAGCCCUAUACCCGUUAAGGCAUGACGGCCUGUACCCGAAACCGACACAGGUGGGGUGGUAGAGAAUACCGAGGGGCGCGAGGUAACUCUCUCUAAGGAACUCGGCAAAAUGGCCCCGUAACUUCGGGAGAAGGGGUGCCACCGCAAGGUGGUCGCAGUGAAGAGGCCCAGGCGACUGUUUACCAAAAACACAGGUCUCCGCUAAGUCGCAAGACGAUGUAUGGGGGCUGACGCCUGCCCAGUGCCGGAGGGUUAAGGAAGCUGGUCAGCGUAAGCGAAGCUGGCGACUGAAGCCCCGGUGAACGGCGGCCGUAACUAUAACGGUCCUAAGGUAGCGAAAUUCCUUGUCGGGUAAGUUCCGACCCGCACGAAAGGCGUAACGAUCUGGGCGCUGUCUCGGAGAGAGGCUCGGCGAAAUAGAAUUGUCUGUGAAGAUGCGGACUACGUGCACCCGGACAGAAAGACCCUAUGAAGCUUUACUGUAGCUUGGUAUUGUGCCCGGGCUCUGAAUGCGCAGGAUAGGUGGGAGGCUUUGAUCCAUUGCUUGUGGGUGAUGGUGAGCCAACGGUGAGAUACCACUCUUUCAGAGCUAGGGUUCUAACGGUCACCCGUCAUCCGGGGACCGGACAGUAUCAGGUGGGCAGUUUGACUGCGGCGGUCGCCUCCUAAAAGGUAACGGAGGCGCGCAAAGGUUCCCUCAGGCUGGUUGGAAAUCAGCCGACGAGUGUAAAGGCAGAAGGGAGCUUGACUGUGAGACCUACAAGUCGAACAGGGACGAAAGUCGGCCUUAGUGAUCCGACGGUUCUGAGUGGAAGGGCCGUCGCUCAACGGAUAAAAGUUACUCUAAGGAUAACAGGCUGAUCUCCCCCAAGAGUUCACAUCGACGGGGAGGUUUGGCACCUCGAUGUCGGCUCAUCGCAACCUGGGGCUGAAGUCGGUCCCAAGGGUUGGGCUGUUCGCCCAUUAAAGCGGUACGCGAGCUGGGUUCAGAACGUCGUGAGACAGUUCGGUCCAUAUCCGGUGCAUGCGCAGGAAUAUUGAGAGGAUUUCUCCCUAGUACGAGAGGACCGGGAGGAACGCACCUCUGGUGUGCCAGUUAUCGUGCCAACGGUAAACGCUGGGUAGCCAUGUGCGGAGUGGAUAACCGCUGAAAGCAUCUAAGUGGGAAGCCCACCUCAAGAUGAGUAUUCCCAUGGCGUUAGCCAGUAAGGUCACGGGCAGAACACCCGUUGAUAGGCUCUACGUGGAAGCCGGGUAACCGGUGAAGCGGAGGAGUACUAAUAGACCGAGGGCUUGACC
This 1350-nucleotide ribosomal RNA is filed under the name metagenome. RNAcentral describes it as "bacterial LSU rRNA". It matches the Rfam family "Bacterial large subunit ribosomal RNA", at positions 1564 to 2925 of the family's 2925-position model. The record is from RNAcentral.